RNAcentral lists this ribosomal RNA (292 nucleotides) under uncultured bacterium. Its description in RNAcentral is "partial 16S ribosomal RNA". It matches the Rfam family "Bacterial small subunit ribosomal RNA", at positions 505 to 796 of the family's 1533-position model. The record is from RNAcentral.
GUGCCAGCCGCCGCGGUAAUACGGAGGGGGCAAGCGUUAUUCGGAUUUACUGGGCGUAAAGCGCACGUAGGUGGCAUGGUAAGUCAAAGGUGAAAGCCCUCGGCUCAACCGAGGAAUUGCCUUUGAAACUGCUUUGCUUGAGUCCGGGAGGGGGGAGCGGAAUUCCCAGUGUAGCGGUGAAAUGCGUAGAUACUGGGAGGAACACCGGUGGCGAAGGCGGCUCCCUGGACCGGUACUGACACUGAGGUGCGAAAGCGUGGGUAGCAAACAGGAUUAGAAACCCUAGUAGUCC